AGCUUUGCACAGUGGCAGUAUCAUAGCCAAUUAGGUUUAUCCGAGGUGCGAUUAUUGCUAAUUGAAAACAAAACAUAAGCCG
Molecule: small nuclear RNA, 82 nt
Filed under: Cercocebus atys (sooty mangabey)
Lineage: Eukaryota; Metazoa; Chordata; Mammalia; Primates; Cercopithecidae
Also listed under: 1 other name
Description: U4 spliceosomal RNA
Rfam family: U4 spliceosomal RNA
About the family: U4 small nuclear RNA (U4 snRNA) is a component of the major U2-dependent spliceosome. The structure of U4 snRNA from yeast and human has been reported.
Source: Rfam by way of RNAcentral